UUAAAUAAACAGAAAACCCAAAUAUGGUUCUCUGUGAUUUUUGUAUGUGGAAAAACACAAUGAUAUUCCUUGGCUUUAAUAUGUGGAGAAUAAACAAUGGUUGUUUGCGGCUUAAAUUUGCGGUACUCUGUGCUUUAAAUAUGAUCAAAUAUGAGUUUAAAAGAGAAACAGGGAAAACAUGUUGAAAUUUAAAAAAAAAAAAAAAACAUUAAUCGUAGAAAAAAAAAGAAGAGCAUUCAAAGAAGAAAUUUAACUGCAAUCAGACGAAUCGGUAGUUUAAAAGGUAUAUCUCAAAAGAUCUCAAAAUAAACACAAGAAAAUAGAAAAGCAUACACUUUUUAUUUAAUUUGCAAAUAUUUUGCUGUUUCUUGCUAGAAUAUGAAAAGCAUAAAAAAUAGCAUUCAAUAAAUACUGAGAUUAUUUUUUCUUUUGUCGUAAAUAAGUAAAUUAUAACAUUUUGUAUAGAUUAAAUUAUUCUGUUCGAGAGCAAGCAAUUGUAUAGAUAUAAGAUCGGAACCUGCUGAUGUUCUCCACAUGAUAUUAAUGAUAUCAGACGAUCGUCCAUAACACAGGCAAUUUGAAGCAGUGGGGAUUAUUUAACUCUCCUGAGAAAUGUCUGAUUUUUAUCCAAGAAAAUAUUUCAAGAAAGAUUUACAGCGUAAUGUAAUUUUACAAAUAAGAAUACUGCAUUUUUAUUACACAAUUUAAACAAAUCUGUUUAUUUGUUAAUGUAUUCAAAUUUCACAUCAAAUACAUACA
RNAcentral lists this long non-coding RNA (759 nucleotides) under Mytilus galloprovincialis (Mediterranean mussel). Lineage: Eukaryota; Metazoa; Mollusca; Bivalvia; Mytilida; Mytilidae. The record is from RNAcentral.